UGCGUGGGCGGAAUAUUAAGUCAGUGGUGAAAUCCUGCGGCUCAACCGUAGAACUGCCAUUGAUACUGAUAUUCUUGAAUGUAGUUGAGGUAGGCGGAAUGUGUAAUGUAGCGGUGAAAUGCUUAGAUAUUACACAGAACACCGAUUGCGAAGGCAGCUUACUAAACUAUGAUUGACGCUGAGGCACGAAAGCGUGGGGAGCGAACAGGAUUAGAUACCCUGGUAGUCC
This 229-nucleotide ribosomal RNA is filed under the name uncultured bacterium. Its description in RNAcentral is "partial 16S ribosomal RNA". It matches the Rfam family "Bacterial small subunit ribosomal RNA", at positions 568 to 796 of the family's 1533-position model. The record is from RNAcentral.